UACGGAGGGAGCUAGCGUUAUUCGGAAUUACUGGGCGUAAAGCGCACGUAGGCGGCUUUGUAAGUUAGAGGUGAAAGCCUGGAGCUCAACUCCAGAAUUGCCUUUAAGACUGCAUCGCUUGAAUCCAGGAGAGGUGAGUGGAAUUCCGAGUGUAGAGGUGAAAUUCGUAGAUAUUCGGAAGAACACCAGUGGCGAAGGCGGCUCACUGGACCGUUGUUGACGCUGAGGUGCGAAAGCGUGGGGAGCAAACGGG
RNAcentral lists this ribosomal RNA (253 nucleotides) under uncultured bacterium. RNAcentral's name for it is "partial 16S ribosomal RNA". It matches the Rfam family "Bacterial small subunit ribosomal RNA", at positions 524 to 776 of the family's 1533-position model. The record is from RNAcentral.